AUGCUCGCUUCAGCAACACGUAUAGUAAAAUUGGAAUGAUACAGAGAUUAGCACGGCCCCUGUGCAAGGAUGAUACACCAAUUGGUGAAGCAUUCCAUAUUUUA
Molecule: small nuclear RNA, 104 nt
Organism: Erinaceus europaeus (western European hedgehog)
Lineage: Eukaryota; Metazoa; Chordata; Mammalia; Eulipotyphla; Erinaceidae
Source: Ensembl